Molecule: long non-coding RNA, 340 nt
Filed under: Cyanistes caeruleus (blue tit)
Lineage: Eukaryota; Metazoa; Chordata; Aves; Passeriformes; Paridae
Description: lncRNA (ENSCCEG00000023431.1)
Source: RNAcentral
UGUCAGUCACCCCAGGAACGUGACUCCGCUGUUUUCAGCCGAAGACUCUUUUGAGGACAGAAGCAAUAACCCCUGCGCACCAAGGGGCUCCUUCUUCAGGUCAGGACGACGCCACAAGCAACGAGAAGACUGAAACCCCCGCGGCGGGAGAGCAGGGAACCAGGUUUUUUCGGUGACUCUGUAUAUUUCUGAAGUGUGGCAUAACACUGUUACUGUGUACACUGUGGGUCAUCAGAGAGGAACUUCCUGUAAUUUAUUGAUCAGCAUAAAAAGCAUCAAGACAUUGACAUCUGUAAUAUGUAGACAGUAAACAAUAAUAGGGAAGGAAACAUGGGAAAGU